Molecule: long non-coding RNA, 2046 nt
Organism: Gallus gallus (chicken)
Lineage: Eukaryota; Metazoa; Chordata; Aves; Galliformes; Phasianidae
Source: Ensembl
AGAAGUUCACCUGUGGCCAGUAGAUGAGGAUGGGAUGAUUUCAGAGCAUGUGAUUGUACCAGAUCUCUGUCUUUUCCUUGUUAUAAUGAAGUCUUGUUGUCACAGUUCCUCGUAGUUUUGACCUGCUGAAACGGAGAAAAUUGCAAUUGGGUGGAGAAAAGGUGAUCCAGUUGAAAUCCAGUUGGACAGCUCUGUGGAUCUCUCAGAUGACUUGGAGGCUACAAAUGCAAGGCUCUGGUACUCACGGUGUACUUUUACCACUUCUGGAAUGCCACAGAGAAGGGCACCAGCAAACCAGGAGGUUUUUGGAGAGCAUUGGUGAUAACUUCCUGACACAAGUGGUUGAGGACUCAAUGAAAUGAGACACUGCGCCUGGGCUGAAAGAAGGACUGGUUGGGGUUAGACUUGGCUGUAGCAACUGUGAGUUGGCUCAGACCUGAAUCUGGAGGGAACAGACCAAGGCCAGUAACAGAGCUGCAACAGUGGACUUCAGGAGAGCAGACUCUGCAACCUGCUUGGAAGAAUCCCAUUGAAUGUGACCCUGGAGAGGAAAUGGGUUCAGGACAGCUAAUUGAUUUUCAAGCAUCUCUUAUUCCAAGCUCAAUGCUCCAUCCAAAUGUUAAGCAAGAGCAGCAGGAGGCUGCAUGGAUGAACAAGUAGAUCAUGAAAAAACAAAUGAACAAGCAAGAAAACAGACAUAGAAAUGUAUCCUACAAGACAUUGAAGUGGAAUCAGGUGACCUUGGAGGAAUAUAGAGACAGAGCUUAGCAUGUAUGGAUGUGGGGCUAGGCAAACCAUGUUAACCUGCCAUGCUUGCUUUGCUGCUUCUGUACUGGACUGAUGCAGUGUUUAGCUGAGAUGCUGACGUAACCGUAAACAACCUUUAUGGUUUAGUGCUGUCCAAAGUGUGGAAUUAUGAAACCAUCUUAGAUUGCAAGGAACUUGGUUUGAUAGCUGGAACUGGAUCCAGUAAGCAUCCUGUGGAGUGAUGGUAGUGAUAUUUGGCUGGAGGAUGGAACAAUUAGGAAAGUUUAUAUAUUCACUGGUUCUUCUCAGGGUGUAAAUGACAAAUCUUUUCGCGUAUUCAGAAUUUACUUUAGAAUGCUGACAGUGCAGAUCUUACUUGGCUGCCUUUAUAAUGACUUUACUUUUCAUUACUGGAAUUAUGAAAAUGUUCUAACACACCUAUCUGUCCAGUUUUUAAUUGUAUACAACUUAAAGGGAAAGGGAAUAUCUCUGGGCUCAGAUAAAGCUCAAAUCUUAUUAGACUUGUCUAGGAGUAGCUUAUCUGCUGUUCUUAACUACUAGCUGCAGACAAAGUAUGUUGCAGCUUCUGUACCUGUUUUGAUCGGUCUUUGUCUUAUUUUGUUUUUCCUAAAGACUCACAGAGACACCUUCCUUCAUCUCUGUAAUGGAAUGUUUAACACUUUUACCUGCUUCAUGUUUGAUCGCUCAUAAUUAACACUUAGGAUCAUUUGCUAUCCAUUGUCAAUAUCUAACACUGUGAGGAUACCACCCAUACUUCUGAAAAUACUGCAUGGUUUUCUCUGUUACACAGCUGUGGUCUCAUUGUAUGUGGAGUACCCCCUAGGACGCAGCACACAAUAGCUUGCAUUCUUUCGUGUUUAUAGUGUUUAUAAUAAGAGUAAAAACAAGUGUAGGUUUAAAUGUUGUUAGCAUGCAUGUGAGAAAUUCCAUGUUUCCUCGAUGUGCUGACUGGGAUUAAUUACACACACCCUGAGGGUGUUUAUGCCCAUCAACAGCAUUAUUCCUGUGAGUCAUUUCAGUUUCUUCAUUGAUGCUAAACCAUUCUGAGGUAGUCAUUAGGAAGAAAAAUGUUUGUUCUUGUAUUCCUGGCACAGAAGAGAAUGUUUCUAGAGCUGUUAGAGGAAAUGCAGAACUUGUCUCCUGAAGCUGGAUGCACAUUAUCCAAUCACAACCUGAUAGUUUUCUCCCAGGGGAUUAGAGUUUGAAACAAUAUAGACUGCAAUAAGGACUGAUGCUCUGCUUCUUUCACUUUUAGGUGGUAUUUAGCUCCAUAAAAAU